Molecule: ribosomal RNA, 440 nt
Filed under: uncultured bacterium
Lineage: Bacteria
Description: partial 16S ribosomal RNA
Rfam family: Bacterial small subunit ribosomal RNA
Source: RNAcentral
CCUACGGGAGGCAGCAGUAGGGAAUAUUGCUCAAUGGGGGAAACCCUGAUGCAGCAACGCCGCGUGGAGGAUGAAGUUUUUCGGAUUGUAAACUCCUUUUGUUAGAGAAGAUAAUGACGGUAUCUAACGAAUAAGCACCGGCUAACUCCGUGCCAGCAGCCGCGGUAAUACGGAGGGGGCAAGCGUUACUCGGAAUCACUGGGCGUAAAGAGCGCGUAGGCGGGAUAGCAAGUCAGAUGUGAAAUCCUAGGGCUUAACCAUAGAACUACAUUUGAAACUGUUAAUCUAGAGUAUGGGAGAGGUGAAUGGAAUUCUUGGUGUAGCGGUAAAAUGCGUAGAGAUCGAGAAGAACACUAGCUGCGAAGGCGACCCGCUAGAACGUAACUGACGCUGAGGCACGAAAGCGUGGGGAGCAAACAGGAUUAGAUACCCUAGUAGUC